Molecule: ribosomal RNA, 447 nt
Filed under: uncultured bacterium
Lineage: Bacteria
Description: bacterial SSU rRNA
Rfam family: Bacterial small subunit ribosomal RNA
Source: RNAcentral
AUGCCAGACUCCUACGGGAGGCAGCAGUGGGGAAUAUUGCACAAUGGGGGAAACCCUGAUGCAGCGACGCCGCGUGAGUGAAGAAGUAUUUCGGUCUGUAAAGCUCUGUCAGCAGGGAAGAAAAUGACGGUACCUGACUAAGAAGCCCCGGCUAACUACGUGCCAGCAGCCGCGGUAAUACGUAGGGGGCAAGCGUUAUCCGGAUUUACUGGGUGUAAAGGGAGUGUAGGUGGCAUAACAAGUCAGAAGUGAAAGCCCGGGGCUCAACCUGUGGCCUGCAUUUGAAACUGUAGUUCUUGAGUACUGGAGAGGCAGACGGAAUUCCUAGUGUAGCGGUGAAAUGCGUAGAUAUUAGGAGGAACACCAGUGGCGAAGGCGGCUUACUGGACUGUAACUGACGUUGAGGCUCGAAAGCGUGGGGAGCAAACAGGAUUAGAUACCCUCGUA